UACGUAGGGGGCAAGCGUUGUCCGGAAUCAUUGGGCGUAAAGAGCGCGCAGGCGGUCGAUCAAGUCGAGUGUGAAAGCCCCCGGCUCAACUGGGGAGGGUCAUUCGAUACUGAUCGACUCGAAGGCAGGAGAGGGUAGUGGAAUUCCCGGUGUAGUGGUGAAAUGCGUAGAUAUCGGGAGGAACACCAGUGGCGAAGGCGACUACCUGGCCUGUUCUUGACGCUGAGGCGCGAAAGCUAGGGGAGCAAACGGG
Molecule: ribosomal RNA, 253 nt
Filed under: uncultured bacterium
Lineage: Bacteria
Description: partial 16S ribosomal RNA
Rfam family: Bacterial small subunit ribosomal RNA
Source: RNAcentral